UCCUGGAUAUGGGGGUGACACCGUGCUUUGCCGUCCACCUGCUGAGUCCUGCGCGGACUCUCUGAAGAUGUUCCAUAAAAACGUUUCCAGGGAAAAGCCUUAUUUUUGGUAAUAUCAUCUCUGCCUACACUGCCAGAGUUCACUGGAUAAUUGCUGAAGUCUAUGAAAAGAAACACCAGGAGCAAAAGUGUGUUAGGUUUGAACACCUGGGACGUUUGGGUUGGAAAUCAGGGGAAACGUAACCUGAGAACGUGAGGGAAGGUGCGGUUUAGGACAAGGCUGCGAGACUGCCUGGAAGACCCUAGGGGAGCCACGAGGCUGGGGCCCACGGGGCACCCGGGAAGCCUGGCCGCCCCCGACUGUCUCAGCCUUGGGUGUUAUCGCAUCACAGGCUCUUUUCUGGUUUCCAUGGAUCAUGGAAGCUAAUAAUUGGGGUUAGGAACGCUUCGCAAGUUCUGUAAUCCCACCACUCAGGGAACAGGAGGAUAAAUCCCAUCUCCAGCCCCAGGACCACCCCCACACCCCCAGGACCCAUGGACAGGACAGGAAGUGGAAUCUGACGUUUGGGAACCAACGGAUACAGAGGACCAACUGCAUGCCCAGAAGUGGGGCUGCCGGCUCCUACAGAGGAUCUGGAUUUAACUUGCCAAGGGACGUCCAACUCAGGCUCGUGCCACAGGUGAACAGGGGGCCCCUGCCUCAGUAAAAUAGGCCAGAAACUAGGAGACAAACACGGUGUGAUGUCACUGACAGGAGGAACCUAAAAGACUGAACUCGCAGGAGUAGGAGCAGCAGAGCAGGUGCUGAGGGCUGGCAGGGAUGGGCAGGAGACGCUGGUUAGCAGGGCCGACGUCGUGCAGGUAAGUGCCGGGCUCUGUGCAGGCUGUGGUCACUAAAGUCGCUCAGAGUGCACUCAAUUCCAGAAACUUGCUAAGAGAGCAGAUCUUCAGUGUCUUUUUAAGUUUUUAUUCAUAUAAAAUGACAGGAUUCAUGUAUUUCAUAAAUGCAAUUCUAAGAGGAUAACCAUACUUGCCUCCUUUUUUCCCCAAACAUCCCUUCCUCCUUGCCUUUCUUUUCUCCCUUAAUGUUUGCAAUAAUGCAUUUUUGUACUCUGUAUACACAGAUGUAAUAGCAAAUAAUAAAAACACUA
This 1150-nucleotide long non-coding RNA is filed under the name Oryctolagus cuniculus (rabbit). RNAcentral describes it as "lncRNA (ENSOCUG00000035347.1)". Lineage: Eukaryota; Metazoa; Chordata; Mammalia; Lagomorpha; Leporidae. The record is from RNAcentral.